Molecule: RNA transcript, 767 nt
Organism: Oncorhynchus kisutch (coho salmon)
Lineage: Eukaryota; Metazoa; Chordata; Actinopteri; Salmoniformes; Salmonidae
Gene name: 60S ribosomal protein L37
Exons: 4
Source: RefSeq, a predicted model, not a curated record
UGUAUCGUACAACAUCUAUUUCUGUAUCUGUUUAUUUUAACACACAUUGUUGCGAUUUGCGACUUGUAAUCACAAAUAAUGGUUUCUCAUCGAUAUUGUUUUUGAUGCAACGUUAGAUGGUGUAUAAAAACCUUGAAUGUUUGCUUGCCUAAAAACUUGCUGGCUAUCUUGCCUAUUCAGCUAGUUAGCUUGCUACCGGAAAAGUAAUGUGCUCUUUCAACUAAAGCACACUUUAUUUCGGGUGUGAAGAAUUUACUAUGCGUUAUUCACGAGACUUAAAUAAAUGUGAACAUGUAUAUAUCUAACUAGCUCAAUGACCAUCUACCGGUAGUUAACAUGGCUAACGUCAACUUUCUAGCAAAGGAAGCAUUGCUAACGUUAGCUGCCUUGCCUCAAGCAAACACUGAAUUAAGUUGCCAGGAAUUUGACUAGAAACACGAAGGGUACAUCGUCCUUCGGAAAGCGGCGUAAUAAGACGCACGCUUUGUGCCGUCGCUGUGGCUCCAAGGCUUACCACCUUCAGAAGUCGUCCUGCGGGAAGUGUGGGUAUCCCGAGAAACGCAAGAGAAGGUACAACUGGAGCGCUAAGGCCAAGAGGAGGAACACCACUGGGUCUGGCCGCCUGAGACACCUGCGAGUCGUCUACCGCAGAUUCAGGAAUGGGUUCCGGGAAGGGACCACCCCAAAGCCUAAGCGUGCUGCAGUGGCUGCCUCCAGCUCGUCCUAGACGCACUUUGGAUUUACUUGUUUAAAUAAAUGUGCUGUUG